GACGAACGCUGGCGGCGGGCUUAACACAUGCAAGUCGAACGGAAAGGCCCUGCUUUUGUGGGGUGCUCGAGGGGCGAACGGGGGAGUAACACGUGAGUAACCUGCCCUUGACUUUGGGAUAACUUCAGGAAACGGGGGCUAAUACCGGAUAGGAGCUCCUGCUGCAGGGAGGGGGGUGGAAAGUUUGGGCGGUUGGGGAUGGACUCGCGGCUUAUCGGCUUGUUGGUGGGGUAGUGGCUUACCAAGGCUUUGACGGGUAGCCGGCCGGAGAGGGUGACCGGCCACCUUGGGCCUGCGGUACGGCCCAGUCUCCUACGGGAGGCAGCAGUGGGGAAUCUUGCACAAUGGGCGGAAGCCUGAUGCGGAGGCGCCGCGUGCGGAAUGCCGGCCUUCGGGUUGUAAACCGCUUUCGCCUGUGACGAAGCGUGAGUGACGGUAAUGGGUAAAGAAGCACCGGCUAACUACGUG
Molecule: ribosomal RNA, 468 nt
Filed under: uncultured bacterium
Lineage: Bacteria
Description: partial 16S ribosomal RNA
Rfam family: Bacterial small subunit ribosomal RNA
Source: RNAcentral